AGCGAACGCUGCGGCAUGCUUAACNCAUGCAAGUCGACGCGAGGGGCAACUGCAGUGGCGGACGGGUGAGUAACGCGUAGGAAUCUAUCCUUGAAUGGGGGACAACCGUGGGAAACUACGGCUAAUACCGCAUGAUGCCUGAGGGCCAAAGACGAAAGUCGUUUGAGGAGGAGCCUGCGUCUGAUUAGGUAGUUGGUGGGGUAAAGGCCUACCAAGCCUACGAUCAGUAGCUGGUCUGAGAGGAUGAUCAGCCACAUUGGGACUGAGACACGGCCCAAACUCCUACGGGAGGCAGCAGUGGGGAAUAUUGGACAAUGGGCGCAAGCCUGAUCCAGCAAUGCCGCGUGGGUGAAGAAGGUCUUCGGAUUGUAAAGCCCUUUUGGCGGGGACGAUGAUGACGGUACCCGCAGAAUAAGCUCCGGCUAACUUCGUG
This 433-nucleotide ribosomal RNA is filed under the name uncultured bacterium. RNAcentral describes it as "bacterial SSU rRNA". It matches the Rfam family "Bacterial small subunit ribosomal RNA", at positions 29 to 507 of the family's 1533-position model. The record is from RNAcentral.